This 59-nucleotide transfer RNA is filed under the name Oreochromis niloticus (Nile tilapia). It matches the Rfam family "tRNA", at positions 7 to 64 of the family's 71-position model. Rfam says of the family: Transfer RNA (tRNA) molecules are approximately 80 nucleotides in length. Their secondary structure includes four short double-helical elements and three loops (D, anti-codon, and T loops). The record is from Rfam by way of RNAcentral. Lineage: Eukaryota; Metazoa; Chordata; Actinopteri; Cichliformes; Cichlidae. RNAcentral also lists the same sequence under 1 other name.
AUAGUGUAAUGGCAAACACAUUUGCUUUGCAAGCAAAAGGUUGGUGGUUCAAUCCCCCU